RNAcentral lists this transfer RNA (77 nucleotides) under Candidatus Methylomirabilis limnetica. RNAcentral describes it as "tRNA-Val". It matches the Rfam family "tRNA". From Rfam's summary of the family: Transfer RNA (tRNA) molecules are approximately 80 nucleotides in length. Their secondary structure includes four short double-helical elements and three loops (D, anti-codon, and T loops). Lineage: Bacteria; Methylomirabilota (SeqCode); Methylomirabilia (SeqCode); Methylomirabilales (SeqCode); Methylomirabilaceae (SeqCode). The record is from RNAcentral.
GGACGGUUAGCUCAGAUGGUUAGAGCGCCGCCUUCACACGGCGGAGGUCACUGGUUCGAUCCCAGUACCGUCCACCA